UUUUCUAAAAAAAUCCAAAGUUUACUCCCCAUUUCUCCUUUCAAACCACAACCAUGGCAAUCCACGGCCAUAUAGCCACCCAUACGACAACUCUUUGCCCAGAGGUUUUUCCUCUAAAAAGGAAAACCUGUGGAACCUAUGGUGUUUCGGGGGAGAAAGAAAAAAAAUUAAGGGAAUGAGCAUCAAUGUUGAAGCUAUUAUGGCCUUCUGAUGAAAUUUUCUUUGCACUUGCAAGGAAGCCUUUAAUUUCUUCAAAUAAAUCUAUUAAGGGGAAGCUAAAUCAAGGCUUCGAUGAAUGUAUAAGUGUCAGAUUGAAGAUCAAAGAAUAAAAGAUUGGAAGGAUCAGGUUUUAUUUGCAAAGAUCAAGAAGGCAAAGGGAUCAUAGCUGGCUGCCAUAGUUGGGAAACUCUGGACAAGGUGGCAAUUAAUUGUCUGGCUGUCAAAGCUUUGGAACAGUAAGAAACAAAGGAUUUAUAAAGAUUAUUAUUUUUCUAGGUAAUGCUUAAGUAGAGGCCUUAUAUCAGAACACAAGGGUUCCUAGAUGGCUUACUCAACAUAGGCUGGCAAAUGGAAGGAAUAUGGUUUGGAAUGGUUGAUAAGAGAGUGCUUAAGAAAGCAAAUGAUUUUGGGUGGUAGAUCACAGACAAUGUUUGAAAUUAAGACUACUUGCUCAAAUACUAUAGCAGAGAAGAGUUGGGUGUUACUAAUAUUUCAACCAAAGUGAAAUAUCCAAGCUACAUACUUUAUCAUAGCAGAGGAUUUUCAUUUUUUAGUUGGGAUUGUUGUGUAGCUACCAUUAUUGCCUUUUAUUUUAUGCAAAGUGAUGUUGUACUCU
Long non-coding RNA from Quercus robur (English oak), 835 nucleotides. RefSeq lists it as uncharacterized. The record is from RefSeq and is a predicted model, not a curated record. The transcript is spliced from 2 exons. Lineage: Eukaryota; Viridiplantae; Streptophyta; Magnoliopsida; Fagales; Fagaceae.